ACAUUGAAGCAAUGUUCUAUUAUAGUUGUGUGUGUACGUGYGAGAGGAAAGAGGGUCCAAAGAAGAAGUAACAUCCUUGGGUCCCGUUUCUGGUUGUUAGCAUGUAGCCAGAAGCAUCUUUGGUCCAAGGGAGAAAUUUGUUUUAGUACUUGGCAUCAAACAUGACCCAUACUGUCGGGAGAGCUGCGGGCAAAAGACAG
This 200-nucleotide long non-coding RNA is filed under the name Apteryx rowi (Okarito brown kiwi). Its description in RNAcentral is "lncRNA (ENSARWG00000004185.1)". The record is from RNAcentral. Lineage: Eukaryota; Metazoa; Chordata; Aves; Apterygiformes; Apterygidae.